This 496-nucleotide ribosomal RNA is filed under the name uncultured bacterium. RNAcentral describes it as "partial 16S ribosomal RNA". It matches the Rfam family "Bacterial small subunit ribosomal RNA", at positions 29 to 523 of the family's 1533-position model. The record is from RNAcentral.
AUUGAACGCUGGCGGCAUGCCUAACACAUGCAAGUCGCACGCAAAAGGGGGCAACCCUGAGUAGAGUGGCGGGCGGGUGAGUAACGCGUAGGAAUCUACCUGGUAGUGGGGGACAACCCGGUGAAAACCGGGCUAAUACCGCAUACGAUCCACGGAUGAAAGCAGGGGACCGCAAGGCCUUGCGCUAUCAGAUGAGCCUGCGUCGGAUUAGCUAGUUGGUGGGGUAAAGGCCCACCAAGGCGACGAUCCGUAGCUGGUUUGAGAGAACGACCUGCCACAAGGGGACUGAGACACGGCCCAGACUCCUACGGGAGGCAGCAGUGGGGAAUAUUGGACAAUGGGGGCAACCCUGAUCCAGCAAUGCCGCGUGUGUGAAGAAGGCCUUCGGGUUGUAAAGCACUUUCGGUGGGGACAAACAAGGUGGAGCUAACAUCUCCGCCUCUGAUGGUACCCAAAGAAGAAGCACCGGCUAACUCUGUGCCAGCCGCCGCCGUAA